Molecule: ribosomal RNA, 305 nt
Filed under: uncultured bacterium
Lineage: Bacteria
Description: bacterial SSU rRNA
Rfam family: Bacterial small subunit ribosomal RNA
Source: RNAcentral
UGUGCCUACGGGAGGCAGCAGUGGGGAAUAUUGCACAAUGGGGGGAACCCUGAUGCAGCGACGCCGCGUGGGUGAAGGAGUACUUCGGUACGUAAAGCCCUAUCAGCAGGAAAGAAAAUGACGGUACCUGACUAAGAAGCCCCGGCUAACUACGUGCCAGCAGCCGCGGUAAUACGUAGGGGGCAAGCGUUAUCCGGAUUUACUGGGUGUAAAGGGAGCGUAGACGGCAGUGCAAGUCCGGAGUGAAAGCCCGGGGCUCAACCCUGGGACUGCUCUGGAAACUGUGGAGCUAGAGUGCUGGAGAG